CACGUAGGCGGCCAUUCAAGUCAGAGGUGAAAGCCCGGGGCUCAACCCCGGAACUGCCUUUGAAACUAGAUGGCUUGAAUCUUGGAGAGGCGAGUGGAAUUCCGAGUGUAGAGGUGAAAUUCGUAGAUAUUCGGAAGAACACCAGCGGCGAAGGCGACUCGCUGGACAAGUAUUGACGCUGAGGUGCGAAAGCGUGGGGAGCAAACA
This 207-nucleotide ribosomal RNA is filed under the name uncultured bacterium. Its description in RNAcentral is "partial 16S ribosomal RNA". It matches the Rfam family "Bacterial small subunit ribosomal RNA", at positions 568 to 774 of the family's 1533-position model. The record is from RNAcentral.